RNAcentral lists this unclassified non-coding RNA (401 nucleotides) under Hevea brasiliensis (rubber tree). The record is from RNAcentral. Lineage: Eukaryota; Viridiplantae; Streptophyta; Magnoliopsida; Malpighiales; Euphorbiaceae.
GGAGUAUUGGUGGGAAUCACAUAAAAGAGCUGAGAAAACUAUGUUAUCUAUUUUGAAUUCUAUCAAUAAAAUUACUGUUCUCUGUCUAAUUCUCUGUUUCCACUAUAAUUUCUCUUUUGUUCUAUCCUUUUCUUCCAUUCUUUCUCCUUGAUUCUUCUCUAGUUCCUGCUGUAACUGAAUAGUUAGUGUUUCAAUCCUAACAGUUAGACAAUCAAAUAAUUUGACAGAAUUAGAGGAAUUAAUGUCAUUUUGGACAGUGUAAACUGUCCUGUCUUGAUUGACUCAAACGCAAGACAAUACAAAUAUUUUUCUUUUCUUGUACUGUCCAGUCCCACAUUGUCCUGUCUAGCCAACCAAAUGCAGCCCUAGGGUAGUCAGAUAUACGGAAAGCUCAUUAUCAC